This 371-nucleotide ribosomal RNA is filed under the name uncultured organism. RNAcentral's name for it is "bacterial SSU rRNA". It matches the Rfam family "Bacterial small subunit ribosomal RNA", at positions 526 to 896 of the family's 1533-position model. The record is from RNAcentral.
CAGAGGUCCCGAGCGUUGUUCGGAUUCACUGGGCGUAAAGGGUGCGUAGGUGGUGAGGUAAGUCGGAUGUGAAAGCUCCAAGCUCAACUUGGAAAUGGCAUUGGAAACUACCUUGCUAGAGGGUUUGAGGGGGACUGGAAUACUUGGUGUAGCAGUGAAAUGCGUAGAUAUCAAGUGGAACACCAGUGGCGAAGGCGAGUCCCUGGAAAACUCCUGACACUGAGGCACGAAGGCUAGGGGAGCAAACAGGAUUAGAUACCCUGGUAGUCCUAGCCGUAAACGGUGCGUAUUUGCUGUAAAAGGAAUCGACCCCUUUUGUGGCGUAGCCAACGCGUUAAAUACGCCGCCUGGGAAGUACGGUCGCAAGAUUA